Molecule: transfer RNA, 69 nt
Filed under: Phymateus morbillosus
Lineage: Eukaryota; Metazoa; Arthropoda; Insecta; Orthoptera; Pyrgomorphidae
Description: tRNA-Gln
Rfam family: tRNA
About the family: Transfer RNA (tRNA) molecules are approximately 80 nucleotides in length. Their secondary structure includes four short double-helical elements and three loops (D, anti-codon, and T loops).
Source: RNAcentral
UAUAUUAAGGUGUAAGAUGCACAAUAGUUUUUGAAACUAUUUGGGAUAGUUUAAUUCUAUCUAAUGUAA